RNAcentral lists this ribosomal RNA (253 nucleotides) under uncultured bacterium. RNAcentral describes it as "partial 16S ribosomal RNA". It matches the Rfam family "Bacterial small subunit ribosomal RNA", at positions 524 to 776 of the family's 1533-position model. The record is from RNAcentral.
UACGGAGGGUCCAAGCGUUGUCCGGAAUCACUGGGUGUAAAGGGUGCGCAGGCGGGCUUAUAAGUCAGGGGUGAAAGCCACCGGCCUAACCGGUGAACUGCCCUUGAUACUGUAAGUCUUGAGUCCUGGAGAGGCUGUCGGAAUUCGUGGUGUAGCGGUGAAAUGCGUAGAUAUCACGAGGAACACCGGAUGCGUAAGCGGACAGCUGGACAGGUACUGACGCUCAGGCACGAAAGCGUGGGGAGCGAACAGG